This 149-nucleotide long non-coding RNA is filed under the name Fukomys damarensis (Damara mole-rat). RNAcentral's name for it is "lncRNA (ENSFDAG00000022594.1)". The record is from RNAcentral. Lineage: Eukaryota; Metazoa; Chordata; Mammalia; Rodentia; Bathyergidae.
CGUUUGGGGCGAAGUGGGGCGCGCGGCGCUCGAAGCACCGUUCCGCAGGUUCCGCCGCUGCUGGAUUCAGCAUGGGCACUUUUCACGCCGCACCCCUGGAGCUGUAGAUGUCAACUCUUUUCAUCACUGUUCCUGAUUGUGACAUUGUC